This 465-nucleotide ribosomal RNA is filed under the name Vreelandella stevensii. Its description in RNAcentral is "partial 16S ribosomal RNA". It matches the Rfam family "Bacterial small subunit ribosomal RNA", at positions 338 to 795 of the family's 1533-position model. Lineage: Bacteria; Pseudomonadati; Pseudomonadota; Gammaproteobacteria; Oceanospirillales; Halomonadaceae. The record is from RNAcentral.
CCUACGGGUGGCAACAGUGGGGAAUAUUGGACAAUGGGGGCAACCCUGAUCCAGCCAUGCCGCGUGUGUGAAGAAGGCCCUCGGGUUGUAAAGCACUUUCAGUGAGGAAGAACGCCUGGUGGUUAAUACCCAUCAGGAAAGACAUCACUCACAGAAGAAGCACCGGCUAACUCCGUGCCAGCAGCCGCGGUAAUACGGAGGGUGCGAGCGUUAAUCGGAAUUACUGGGCGUAAAGCGCGCGUAGGUGGCUUGAUAAGCCGGUUGUGAAAGCCCCGGGCUCAACCUGGGAACGGCAUCCGGAACUGUCAAGCUAGAGUGCAGGAGAGGAAGGUAGAAUUCCCGGUGUAGCGGUGAAAUGCGUAGAGAUCGGGAGGAAUACCAGUGGCGAAGGCGGCCUUCUGGACUGACACUGACACUGAGGUGCGAAAGCGUGGGUAGCAAACAGGAUUAGAUACCCUAGUAGUC